GCUGGCUCAGCCCACGCGGGGCGUUCUCUUCCGCACGGAGAGGAAUGGUCUGUGGUGGAUCAUGGCUCCCGCCGCUGUCGCGCCCGCCCUGCAGACCCCCGAGAUUCAGUUCGCUCAGAGGCUGGCUGCGAACGAGAAACGGAUUCGAGAUCGAGCGCUGAAGAAGCUACGUGGCUAUAUCACUCUCAGGACCCAGAGUCCAGCGGGUAGUUUUACUCGAGAAGAGUUGCUAAAAAUAUGGAAAGGACUCUUUUACUGCAUGUGGAUGCAGGAUAAACCCCUGCUGCAGGAGGAGCUCUCAAACAAUAUAUCACAACUCGUUCAUGUAAUUGAGAACAUGGCUGCUCGGCAUUUGUUUAUUCAGACUUUUUGGCAAACCAUGAACCGGGAAUGGAAUGGAAUAGACAGACUACGCCUAGAUAAAUUUUACAUGCUGAUCCGCAUGAUGCUGAGGCAGUCCUUUGAAGUACUGAAAAGAAAUGGAUGGAAUGAAAGUCUUACUGAGACAUUUCUGAACAUGCUAAUGAAGGAGGUGCUUAACCCAGACACCAGUGCUGCCAUUGGGGUCAAAUUACAUUUCAUCGACAUCUAUCUGGAAGAGCUGGCUAAAGUUGGGGCUAAAGAGCUCACAGCAGACCAGAAUCUCAAGUUUAUUGAACCAUUCUGCAAAAUUGUUGCCAAGACCAAGGAUCAUCUCGUACUGCAAGCUGUUGUCCACGGGAUCUUUGAGGCCAUUGUGGAUCAGUCACCAUUUGCCAUAGAAGAUUUAAUGAAAGAACUGACUGCUGCUGGUGAUGAGGAGGUAUCAGAAGAUGAUGAAUGGAGUGAUGAUGAGGACAAGCUGAUGGCCAAAGGCAGGGGCUUGUCAAACAAAUCCCUGCUAGGCUCUGAGACUGAAGAUAACCUUUUUGAAGAUGCAGAAGAUAAUAUUGGGCCUGUUCUCCAGUUCGAUUAUAAAAUGGUUGCAGACACACUAUUUGAAUUGGCCAGCAGAAAAAAUACACCUACUUUUAACAGAAAGCGCCUCUACAAAGUGAUUAAAAAAUUUCAAGACCUUGCAGAAGGGGCUUUUCCACAAGAUGAUUUUCCUGAAGAUGUUUCGACAGAUGAAGAUGAUGAUACUUUCAGCAGGAGAAAGUGCAAAUGGAAAUCUGGCAAACCUUUAGAUCAGUCUAAGCUGGAGAAAGCCGAGAACACUAGCAACAGAAAAGACUGUACUGAGGAAGAAGAGAACAAUACAGGAACACAGAAGAAAAGGAAGAAACGAAAAAGGAAGGCUAGUCAGAUAGAUGACACUUGCACAGCUACUGGAAGUUAUGAGAAAGCACCAGUCAAUGUAGGCAAAUCCAAAGAGCCAAGCCAAGAUACUGAAUUAUCAACUAGUAAGAAAAGGCAAAAAAAAUCUUUAAGUAUGAAUGUCAAUGAAGCUGGCUCCUUAGCAACUCCCAUUGGAGGGCUCAGUGAUAAUUCGACAUUGAAAUCACUGCCAUGUUUGGUAAACAGUAUAAAGAAACAGCCAAAGAAGAAAAAUGGCAGCCCCCAGAAAGUUCCUGUCAAAAUUGCCCAUCAAAAUGGAGGCGCUAAUGUUAUUACUGCAGAGGAUCUUGGUCACUGUGCUACAGUAGGUCAUGACUGUGAAGUGCCGAAGAAGAAAUGGAAACCAGAGCUUGGGAUGAUCACUGGGAACAGUUUUCCUGACGAGGCGGUUCAGCAGUCAGAGUUGAAACCCUUUGUGGAGUCAGAAUCCACAACGCUUCAUAAAGUGAAGUUGAAAAAAAACCAAACAUUGGGGAAGUUGGUCAAGAUUAGAUGUUCCAAACAGAAAAUAAUUGGCUUAAGAAAGCAAAGGAAAAUAAAGGAAGUCCAGAAUUCCAUAGAUGAAAAUGAACUUCAAGUUGCAAACAAGAAAAACAGAAGUGAUGAAACUGGUGUUGCUGCCUUUCUGCUGAAGAAGAAGGAUAAGGAAGGGAAUGCCUUUGUGAAAUUUGAAAAGACAGCAUUACCAAAGCCAACGUUUUUUAGAAAAGCCAAAGGGAGCAUUACCUCUAUGCAGCUAAGCAAGCUACAAUCUUCCAUCUCCAAAAAGGUCACCUUUGGACUGAAUAAGAACAUGACUGCAGAAUUUAAGAAGACAGAUGAAAGUAUCUUAGUCAGCCCAGAGGGAGCCUCCCGGGUAGCUUUCAAUCCUGAGCAAAAACCACCUCAUGGAGUGUUGAAGUCCCCUUCUGGCUCUUCUGCAGGAACACCUCAAAUAAAGAAACCAUUUUUAAUGUCUCAUAAGAAGAGACCAACUGCUGUGGACUUCUUCUAAGCCAAUAAGGAGAAGAGUAAUUUUUGUACAGAAUAUUUCAGUAACCAAUUAUUUCUGGAGGGGUACCACAUCAUUACUCUGGGUAUUAGAAUCUCAACCCUUCAUAAAUGCAGAAUAGCAUAGUUCAGGGAACCUCGCAUACACAGAAGGUCAAAGGACAAAUAGUUCCCCUGCAUCAAGGGUAUGAAAAAUGUAGCUCUCCAGAUAUUUUGGACUUUAUCUCCUAGUAUUCCUGACCAUUCGUCAUGGUGGCUGGGCCUCUUGGGAGUUCGAAGUCCAAAGUAUGUGGUAAAAAACUUUUUGCAGACUCCUGCCCUUGGCAUUAAGUAUUUCUCCUGAGUUUUCAUCAAGUUCAAAGUAGUGAUAUUAUAAUUGUUUUGUUUUCAAAUGUCUUCUGGUAUUUUCCUUGUUAAGCGCUGUCCAUUGGUUUGAGAGUGCUCACUUCCUCCUCACCCCUUGGAGCUGAAAGAGGGUGAAUUGAAUGAGAAUGGAAUAUUUGCAUUUUGGGGACUUGCAUCAGAUAGUGUACAUUUGUUAACUCUUUAUAUUAGUAAACCUUAAUGGAAGGAAAUAUCACAAUAUAAAUGUUAGUAUUGGCUCUUUAAACUGACUGCUUUACUUGCUUGGAGAAAGGCAGUGAGGAUUUAGAACCAGUAUAAGUCAACAAUUUACUUUUGUUGAAGUAGAAGCACCUAAGAAUAUUGAGGACAAGAGUUGCUUUUAACCUUUGACCAACCUAAACCUCAGAGUAUUAUACUUCCCAUGAAAAUAAUCCAUAUUAUCAAGUGUGUUGCAGAAUAGAUGUUGAAAGCAAGAUCAGCACCUGGCAUCCAUGGGCAGCUGCUUGGGCCAUCCAUUACAUUUUCAUCCCAGUCUAGUCCUCCAGACACCUAACAAGUGUCUCUAGCUAUUUCCAUCUCCAACAAUGGACAGUACCCUGUGCUGCCUCUGUGUUGGCAGGAGAAGCUUACAGUUCCUAAAACGAGGCAGAAACAAGCAUUUCCAUCCAUUCUUUGCGGCUUUAGGAGGUACUGGUUCCUGUUGUGCUAACAGUGGGUCCUGCUGGUACAAUAGAACUAGAGGGAGCUCAACAGAAGUUUAGGAUACUGCCCGAUCCAAGGCAUUGUGGGAAAUUAAAAUAGCAGUUUCUAUUAGCCAGUAUGCCCAGCAGAAACCACCAGUAGAGAUGGGGAGAAGUUUCACACUCUAUGUUCUAGCUGUUAAAGUCAUUGACCAGCUUUUCAGAAUUCACACACACAUCAGGCUUCUCUUAAGAGAUGCCCCCCAUUGUUUGGAACUGCAACUCACAUUAGCCCCAGCUAGCUUGGUCAAUGGUCAAGGAUGAUGUGAGUUUUACUUUGAAACAUGUAGGGGGAAAAACCUGGGGUGUGCAAACUGAAAUGUAGCUCUUAGGAUGUUUUGUACUUCAGUUGUCAGAAGUCUGUCAGCAUGGCAGCAACAUUUGUUUCUGCAUUGCAGCCUUGCCUGAUGCUGCCCUCUAAUGUUUUGGACUACAACUCCCAGCACGUCUACCUUUGUCUAUGCUGUCUACAGCUGACUGGAGUUGACAUCAAAACACCUGGAGGCCACCAGGUUGGGGAAGGCUGCUUUUAUGGUAAUAAACUUCUUCCCACAAAUAGUGUAAAAUAAGAAUGGGAUAAGGAAGGUAAAUUUUUGCCCUGGAAUAGCCCAUAGUUGCUUAAAGCUCUUGCUGUUCUCACUGGGAAUGGAUUAAGUCAAAUGAAAAGACCCCUUGAAAAUUGCAACUGAAUUCAUAACUUGGUUUUACUUUGCAACUGAAUUUAUAAUUCCAUUAGCAGUGUUCUCCUCCCAUGACAUUAGAGCUCUUCACCUAUCAGUAAUAUUAAUGAUCUUGACUUGUACUUAGCUGUUAUAAUAGAGAAUGUCUAGAACUGUCCCAGCUUGGUAUUCUUUUGUAAAGUGGUUCCUUAAAAAUAUUCACUUAUGUAAUACAAUCACCGAUUAUCUCAUAUACAUCUUAGAACCAUAUCACAUUUCAAAAAUCAGGAACAUUGACAACAAAUGGACAAAAAGAUUUAAAAAAAGGAUCAAAGAAAAAUGCCAAGGAAAAUGCUAAUUUUCCAUUUAUAUUUAACAAAACUGAGUAUAGAAAAUAACAUUUUUCAUAUUCUGAAACGUUUGUUUUGCAUCGAGGGUAAUAAUUUGUUAGUAAAAUACAAUUGGUAAGUUCAACAAAUUUACCCUGAUUUCAAAAUUCCAAUGGAACUAGUCCACAGUAUGAGCUGCAUUUAAAAAAAAAAUCCAUUAGCAGUGACGUGUUUUAUCUGCUUCCAUGUCUGCUGAUUCUGAAAUCAAAACUGGAUUGUUUCCAAAUGAAUCCAAUUCAAACAUAUGAAAAGGUGGGCUAAAAAGAUAAGUAUAUCUCUUGUCUUUAACAACAGGUUAAACAAGGAGUGAUCUGCUCAUGUAUACACAUUAUGUAGUGCAGGUUUCAAAACGGAAUUGUCCUAGACUCAAAGAGGCAUGUUGUAGAUAGUCCUGAUUUCAGAAUGCUGCAUGUGUAUAUACUAUUACAGAAAUGCCAUUGCACCAUAGUACUGUUCUUUAUUUUUUGUAUUGUGUUCUCUGUUCACAUUCUUCCAUGUACUGAAACAGAACCAUAUUGACCAAUUAUAUGAAAUUGUAUAUAAGCUAUUAUAUUACUGUUGUC
Molecule: RNA transcript, 5003 nt
Organism: Varanus komodoensis (Komodo dragon)
Lineage: Eukaryota; Metazoa; Chordata; Lepidosauria; Squamata; Varanidae
Gene: RRP1B
Gene name: ribosomal RNA processing 1B
Exons: 18
Source: RefSeq, a predicted model, not a curated record